Molecule: long non-coding RNA, 258 nt
Filed under: Mustela putorius furo (domestic ferret)
Lineage: Eukaryota; Metazoa; Chordata; Mammalia; Carnivora; Mustelidae
Description: lncRNA (ENSMPUG00000023944.1)
Source: RNAcentral
AAAGAAACAAAACAAAGCAAGGUAGGAAAUGAGCCUCCUCAAAAUCAAAAUAAGCACGACCGACUGGAGUGAAAUGAGCCCCUGUGUGUUACAAUGGGAAGUACACCCCACCCAUGCCGUGCUCUUACCGACGUGUUUAACCCGAAUUCAGUCAGAGAAAAGAGAGAGAUGUGGACGGUGGAAUAUAGAACGUGCCACAGCCAAAAUGGCAUAGAUUCUUCAAAAACGUCAAUGUCAAGAAAAGACAAACAGCUGGAG